Molecule: ribosomal RNA, 385 nt
Filed under: uncultured bacterium
Lineage: Bacteria
Description: bacterial SSU rRNA
Rfam family: Bacterial small subunit ribosomal RNA
Source: RNAcentral
GACGAACGCUGGCGGCGUGCCUAACACAUGCAAGUCGAGCGAAUGAAGUUCCUUCGGGAACGGAUUUAGCGGCGGACGGGUGAGUAACACGUGGGCAACCUGCCUCAUAGAGGGGAAUAGCCUUCCGAAAGGGAGAUUAAUACCCGCAUAAGAUUGUAGUACCGCAUGGUACAGCAAUUAAAGGAGCAAUCCGCUAUGAGAUGGGGCCCCGCGGCGCAUUAGCUAGUUGGUGAGGUAACGGCCCACCAAGGCGACGAUCAGUAGCCGGUCUGAGAGGAUGAACGGCCACAUUGGGACUGAGACACGGCCCAGACUCCUACGGGAGGCAGCAGUGGGGGAUAUUGCGCAAUGGGGGCAACCCUGACGCAGCAACGCCGCGUGAAGG